UGAGUAACACGUAUCCAACCUGCCGUCUACUCUUGGCCAGCCUUCUGAAAGGAAGAUUAAUCCAGGAUGGCAUCAUGAGUUCACAUGUCCGCAUGAUUAAAGGUAUUUUCCGGUAGACGAUGGGGAUGCGUUCCAUUAGAUAGUAGGCGGGGUAACGGCCCACCUAGCCCGCGAUGGGUAGCCGGGUUGAGAGACCGACCGGCCACAUUGGGACUGAGAUACGGCCCAG
Molecule: ribosomal RNA, 229 nt
Filed under: uncultured bacterium
Lineage: Bacteria
Description: partial 16S ribosomal RNA
Rfam family: Bacterial small subunit ribosomal RNA
Source: RNAcentral